CGGAUUGUAGUCUGNAACCCGACUACAUGAAGCCGGAAUCGCUAGUAAUCGCAAAUCAGAAUGUUGCGGUGAAUACGUUCCCGGGUCUUGUACACACCGCCCGUCACACCGGAUGGGAGUUGGAAAUGCCCGAAGUCAGUGACCCAACCGAAAGGAGGGAGCUGCCGAAGGCAGGUCCGAUGACUGGGGUGAAGUCGUAACAAGGUACC
RNAcentral lists this ribosomal RNA (209 nucleotides) under uncultured bacterium. RNAcentral describes it as "partial 16S ribosomal RNA". It matches the Rfam family "Bacterial small subunit ribosomal RNA", at positions 1294 to 1500 of the family's 1533-position model. The record is from RNAcentral.